GACGGUUUGGCUGGGGUCUGAGGUGCCAGAUUUAGGCUCUAGUCCGAAAGGGCGUGGGUUCAAAUCUCACAGCCGUCC
Molecule: transfer RNA, 78 nt
Filed under: Ipomoea nil (Japanese morning glory)
Lineage: Eukaryota; Viridiplantae; Streptophyta; Magnoliopsida; Solanales; Convolvulaceae
Rfam family: tRNA
About the family: Transfer RNA (tRNA) molecules are approximately 80 nucleotides in length. Their secondary structure includes four short double-helical elements and three loops (D, anti-codon, and T loops). Further hydrogen bonds mediate the characteristic L-shaped molecular structure. tRNAs have two regions of fundamental functional importance: the anti-codon, which is responsible for specific mRNA codon recognition, and the 3' end, to which the tRNAs corresponding amino acid is attached (by aminoacyl-tRNA synthetases). tRNAs cope with the degeneracy of the genetic code in two manners: having more than one tRNA (with a specific anti-codon) for a particular amino acid; and 'wobble' base-pairing, i.e. permitting non-standard base-pairing at the 3rd anti-codon position.
Source: Rfam by way of RNAcentral